UAGUUGGCUAAGAAGAGAAGAGUAAUUUUGAUUUAUUAUUUAAAGAGAGCUCCAGCUGGUGAAAAGGAGUAAUAAGAAUCUUAAUGAAAAAAGACUUGGAGCUUUCGCACGGAUCAAAGAAACACUCUUUGUGAUACUGCGACGGGAUCUCCCGUUAUAGAGAUAGGGUAUAACCAAUUUUUUAAUUGCCGUACCCGAAGAGGUUGAUAUGGCAACAUAUCAAUAAACUGGGGUGGUACCACGAAGUUAAUAAUAACUCUCGUCCUCAAG
This 270-nucleotide non-coding RNA is filed under the name Niallia circulans. Its description in RNAcentral is "Bacillus circulans T-box sequence". It matches the Rfam family "T-box leader". From Rfam's summary of the family: Uncharged tRNA acts as the effector for transcription antitermination of genes in the T-box leader family. The record is from RNAcentral. Lineage: Bacteria; Bacillati; Bacillota; Bacilli; Caryophanales; Bacillaceae.